UUAAACCUAUCUUAUUUAAAAAAAAAAGGCAGUAACUUAUAUCAUGAAAUCUUUUAGGACAGCUUUGAGGACCUAAAAAAACUGUGAUGAAUUGUUAUAUUCAUUUCCUAUGUAUCUGACACACUUAAGGCAUGUUAAAAAAGCUAAUAUUUGAACUUUCAUCUUUGAUGUACUUUUCCUUUUAAAAUCGAUGAGCCAUUGGUAUUUCAAAUAUCAUGUUUAGCUUUACAUGUGUGCCACGUAGAUAGUUAUCUGAAUGAGUUAAAACGUAAAAAAAUAUUAGAGAUGGUAGAAAAUAGAAGCAGUACAUUAACUUAAUGUCAUACGAAAUUGAGCAAGCAAGUGAGAAGAAAGCGCCAAUUAAUGGAACUGAGCAAGAAUUUGAGAAGAAAUCGCUCGUCAGUGGUAUUUGGUUUGUAACAAAGAAAUAUGGAUGGGCUGUAUUAAUAGGUGUAGGUGUAGUAUUUGUAGAACUUCUUGCCGUUGCUCUACAACCAAAUUUAAUUGCAGGAUCUUUCAGUAUGUCAUUCCACACCCGUUGGUACCAUCGGUGGAUGCAUAUGUAUAACUAUAUUAUGAGAGGCUGUUCGGAGAAGGACAUGGACUGUAUGAACAGUUUCACUUUAUCUUCUUUAGUGGAUGCAUAUAUCAUGGGAGGCUGUUCGGAAAAAGAUAUUUACUGUAUGAAGAAAUAAAAAUUACUUCCACACUUC
Mytilus californianus (California mussel) is the source of this 713-nucleotide long non-coding RNA. RefSeq lists it as uncharacterized. The transcript is spliced from 2 exons. Lineage: Eukaryota; Metazoa; Mollusca; Bivalvia; Mytilida; Mytilidae. The record is from RefSeq and is a predicted model, not a curated record.